RNAcentral lists this long non-coding RNA (2669 nucleotides) under Nicotiana benthamiana. RNAcentral describes it as "long non-coding RNA (NBEN_LNC035464)". Lineage: Eukaryota; Viridiplantae; Streptophyta; Magnoliopsida; Solanales; Solanaceae. The record is from RNAcentral.
ACCAUUACCCUUUACCAUAAUUAAUCCCAAACGACCCCUUACCCUAACUUAUUUCCCAUCACUCGUCACCUAUGAAUAACUUCCCUCUCAAUUCUCUCUGCAACCUCACAUGAACCCUAGACACCGCCAUAUACUUCCACCCUAAUCCCCUCAACACUGCCUAAUCCAUGGCCUCUCAUGGCUAUUUGAGAUGUGUAUCAGCCUCCUAUGGCUCUUGGGUGUUUUUUUCCGUGAUUUCAUUGUCGGAUCUCAAAUAUAUCUAGUCCAGUCCUUGCUCAAUCUCUUUCUCUAGUCUUUCUCCAGCCAUCCAUGGCCAUUCAAGUCAGAUCCUUGACCUUUGCGGCUACAUCGGUAACAUUUCAAAGUCUUUCUCACUUUUUCUGGGUUCUCUGAAACCCUAGCUUUAAGAUCUUUUUGAUUUUCUUUGAGAUCUAUCUUAGAUCUGUGCUUACUAUGAAGUUCUUAAGUGUUUUCCUGAAGGUUCUUUGACUUUCUUUCAAAAUGGCUCUUCAUUUUUUCAACGAUUAGGGUUUCUCUUAACCUCUUUUUAAAGAUAUCCUCUCUGGUUUUUGGUGUUGUUUCAUGAUUUUACUAUUUUCAAACAACUUGUUUAUCCCUUUCUUCUGCUUGAUUCAGCAUGUUUGAAAACCUUAGUUCCUUUUUGGUCUCAUCCGAGUUCUGAAACUUUUUGCUUAAAUGUGUACUUGUUCGAUUAAGUUCUUUGUUUCUGACUCUCUUUUCCUUGUUUGACUUAUCUGAUUUGGGUUCUUAUCCUCUCUUAAACUCGAUAAUUUCUUAAAAGGGGUUUUCCUCACUUGAUACUACUGUGAGACCUUUAGUUGUUUCUGAUUUUUCUUACCUGUCAGUUUGGUUCUCUGCACUUUUGUUUUAUAUGGCUGCUUGACUACUAUGCUUCGAAUAGUUUUCUUCUUCUACUGAAUCCUAGAUUACCCUAUUGCCCCUAUAUAUAUCUUUUGCUUAUUUUUGUUGACAUAUUUAACUCUACAUGCCUGUUCAUUCCUUGUUAUUUAUAUGGUGAAGUGCAUAAUCGUGUUCCUUUGUUGAUUGAUCUUGAUUUCCUCAAUCUUCUGACUAAUUGCAAAAAGUUUUCUUAUAAACCCUAAUUGUAUUCGUUUGUUUAAAUUAAUUGGUCCCUCCUUUUCAUUACUGUGGUGUUUUACCUUGCUGAAUCCUUUUACAAAAUAAGCAUAUUUUAUACUUAGACUUGAUUAUUGACUUCAUACUUUUACUGCCCCCUUAUAUGGGAAUAAUCAAUAUGUCCCAAACUGAUUUCUUUCUUUAAUCAAACCUGUUAGUAUCCGUUAAGCAAUGAUUCCUUAAUUAAAGGGAAUCACUUGUGUUAAUUGAUUCUGAUUGUGAUUAUUUCCAUGUUUGCGUUAAGACAUUGGUUAUUAUCUUAUUCUUCACUCGUUUUCAGAACUAUGAAUACCCAACCUCUUUUCUUUCAAAGAUACGAGCAAUUUGAGUUCAAAACACACACUUACACUCAAAACUCUCUACUUUCUCUAUUACUACUUGUGCUAUUGCUUUGUCUAGCCGGCUGAAAGCCAAGUCUACAAUGUGGAAUCUUUCUUACUUUUCCUUUCUUCACUUUGCUUUUCUACCGGUAUGUCCUAGUUCACUUUUAAAUGCCCCAAAAACAACAUAUUUCUUUGAUUGUUCCAAUUUAUUGCAUUUAUCUACUCCUGCAUAUGUUUCUGCAGUCAAGUUAUAUGACUAGCAUACUGUAAUAUUUUCCCUACCCCUUUUAAAUUAAUGCUUCCCUAUAUGUGUACUUUGUGUACUUGUUGUCUUAUGAAUCCCAAACCAUAUCCCCUCAAAUGUGUUUGUUUCUCUGGUUGGUUUGUGAUUAUACCAGCAUCACCUAUUGAUGUGCAUGACCAUACCAGAUCCCUACUGGGGUCAUGUUCUUACAGACAAUGUACCCCUAAAACCCCUUGACCCCUUUGUGUGACUGCCGAUUCUGUGUGUUUGAGUUUCUUUCAUUACCACAAUUUAUUUCAAAAAUUUCUACCACUGAUUACCUUAAAAAUAUGACUUGCAUUCGAGUUUUAAAUAAACUCUUUUUCAACUAUAUUCUGCACUUCCACUAGAUUCUUAGAAUCUAGGUUAUGCACCUCUUGUGCGACCCUUGCCUUGGGAUCCUUGAUCUCCCUCUGAACUUGGACACCUAAGGGCUGGCUCUUCCACAUGCACUCAUUUUUUUCUGGUCAUGCAAGCCUGGGUGUAGGCACUGCCCGGGAUCCCAUAAGGUUCUUAGGAAACUUUGACACACCCAGGUACGAGAAAGGCUUUGAAAUUCUAUCACUGAAGUGGUUCAUUACACAACCCAGAGAGGAAGUCAAGAUCAUUCUUUCCUUUGGUUGUAAUUUUCUUAUUUCUGCACUUCUUUUUUUAUAAUUCAAUCAUUUGGGCUUUAAUAAUUUGUAAGCAAUAUUGGGGUUGGCUAGUGAAAAGGGAUGGGGUGAUCAUACUUGUUUGAGCUAUUAGAAGGGUAAAUAACAUGUCUAUAGGGUGUAUUUCGAUAUGAUCUAUUAGAGAACAUGCCUAUAGGAUCUGCUUUGGUCUCAUAAAUUUCUGCAUGCUUUACUUUUACAUAAUUAGAAACCACGCGUAUAGGAUCUGCUUUGGUCUAAUAAACUUCUUCA